UACGAAGGGGGCUAGCGUUGCUCGGAAUCACUGGGCGUAAAGGGUGCGUAGGUGGGUCUGUAAGUCCGUGGUGAAAUCUCCGAGCUUAACUUGGAAACUGCCAUGGAUACUAUAGGUCUUGAAUACUGUGGAGGUCAGCGGAAUAUGUCAUGUAGCGGUGAAAUGCUUAGAUAUGAACAUAGAACACCAAUUGCGAAGGCAGCUGGCUACACAAAUAUUGACACUGAGGCACGAAAGCGUGGGGAUCAAACAGG
This 254-nucleotide ribosomal RNA is filed under the name uncultured bacterium. RNAcentral describes it as "partial 16S ribosomal RNA". It matches the Rfam family "Bacterial small subunit ribosomal RNA", at positions 524 to 776 of the family's 1533-position model. The record is from RNAcentral.